GGACCUGUAGUUUAAAUGGUAAAACUCUGGAUUGAAGAUCCGGUAUUGUGAGUUCGAUUCUCUCUGGGUCCA
RNAcentral lists this transfer RNA (72 nucleotides) under Candidatus Riesia sp. Its description in RNAcentral is "tRNA-Phe". It matches the Rfam family "tRNA". From Rfam's summary of the family: Transfer RNA (tRNA) molecules are approximately 80 nucleotides in length. The record is from RNAcentral. Lineage: Bacteria; Pseudomonadati; Pseudomonadota; Gammaproteobacteria; Enterobacterales; Enterobacteriaceae.